UUGUUGGUAAGGUAAAAGCUUACCAAGGCUUCGAUCAGUAGCUGGUCUGAGAGGACGGCCAGCCACACUGGGACUGAGACACGGCCCAGACUCCUACGGGAGGCAGCAGUGGGGAAUUUUGGACAAUGGGGGCAACCCUGAUCCAGCCAUGCCGCGUGAGUGAAGAAGGCCUUCGGGUUGUAAAGCUCUUUCAGCCGGAACGAAACGGUUACGGUUAAUACCCGUGACUACUGACGGUACCGGAAGAAGAAGCACCGGCUAACUACGUGCCAGCAGCCGCGGUAAUACGUAGGGUGCGAGCGUUAAUCGGAAUUACUGGGCGUAAAGCGUGCGCAGGUGGUUUUGUAAGUCAGAUGUGAAAGCCCCGGGCUCAACCUGGGAACUGCGUUUGAAACUACAAGACUAGAGUGUGGCAGAGGGGGGGUGGAAUUCCGCGUGUAGCAGUGAAAUGCGUAGAGAUGUGGAGGAACACCGAUGGCGAAGGCAGCCCCCUGGGUCAACACUGACGCUCAGGCACGAAAGCAUGGGGAGCAAACAGGAUUAGAUACCCUGGUAGUCCAUGCCCUAAACGAUGUCAACUAGUUGUCGGGCCUUUACGGGCUUGGUAACGUAGCUAACGCGUGAAGUUGACCGCCUGGGGAGUACGAUCGCAAGAUUAAAACUCAAAUGAAUUGACAGGGACCCGCACAAGCGGUGGAUUAUGUGGAUUAAUUCGAUGCAACGCGAAAAACCUUACCUACCCUUGACAUGUAUCGAAGCCCGCAGAAAAGCGGGGGUGCCCGAAAGGGAACGAUAACACAGGUGCUGCAUGGCUGUCGUCAGCUCGUGUCGUGAGAUGUUGGGUUAAGUCCCGCAACGAGCGCAACCUUUGUCAUUAAUUGCCAUCAUUUAGUUGGGCACUUUAAUGAGACUGCCGG
Molecule: ribosomal RNA, 917 nt
Filed under: uncultured bacterium
Lineage: Bacteria
Description: bacterial SSU rRNA
Rfam family: Bacterial small subunit ribosomal RNA
Source: RNAcentral